UGAACGCUGGCGGCGUGCCUAAUACAUGCAAGUCGAGCGAACAGACGAGGAGCUUGCUCCUCUGACGUUAGCGGCGGACGGGUGAGUAACACGUGGAUAACCUACCUAUAAGACUGGGAUAACUUCGGGAAACCGGAGCUAAUACCGGAUAAUAUAUUGAACCGCAGGGUUCAAUAGUGAAAGACGGUUUUGCUGUCACUUAUAGAUGGAUCCGCGCCGCAUUAGCUAGUUGGUAAGGUAACGGCUUACCAAGGCAACGAUGCGUAGCCGACCUGAGAGGGUGAUCGGCCACACUGGAACUGAGACACGGUCCAGACUCCUACGGGAGGCAGCAGUAGGGAAUCUUCCGCAAUGGGCGAAAGCCUGACGGAGCAACGCCGCGUGAGUGAUGAAGGUCUUCGGAUCGUAAAACUCUGUUAUUAGGGAAGAACAAAUGUGUAAGUAACUAUGCACGUCUUGACGGUACCUAAUCAGAAAGCCACGGCUAACUACGUG
RNAcentral lists this ribosomal RNA (495 nucleotides) under uncultured bacterium. Its description in RNAcentral is "partial 16S ribosomal RNA". It matches the Rfam family "Bacterial small subunit ribosomal RNA", at positions 30 to 507 of the family's 1533-position model. The record is from RNAcentral.